AUGAACGCUGGCGGCGUGCUUAACACAUGCAAGUCGAACGAUGACCCGGUGCUUGCACCGGUGAUUAGUGGCGAACGGGUGAGUAACACGUGAGUAACCUGCCCUUGACUCUGGGAUAAGCCUGGGAAACUGGGUCUAAUACCGGAUAUGACUCCUCAUCGCAUGGUGGGGGGUGGAAAGCUUUUUGUGGUUUUGGAUGGACUCGCGGCCUAUCAGCUUGUUGGUGAGGUAAUGGCUUACCAAGGCGACGACGGGUAGCCGGCCUGAGAGGGUGACCGGCCACACUGGGACUGAGACACGGCCCAGACUCCUACGGGAGGCAGCAGUGGGGAAUAUUGCACAAUGGGCGCAAGCCUGAUGCAGCGACGCCGCGUGAGGGAUGACGGCCUUCGGGUUGUAAACCUCUUUCAGUAGGGAAGAAGCGAAAGUGACGGUACCUGCAGAAGAAGCGCCGGCUAACUACGU
This 465-nucleotide ribosomal RNA is filed under the name uncultured bacterium. RNAcentral's name for it is "bacterial SSU rRNA". It matches the Rfam family "Bacterial small subunit ribosomal RNA", at positions 29 to 506 of the family's 1533-position model. The record is from RNAcentral.